UGAAUGUUGUUGUCAGCAGCCAGACUCAGACACAUGUGUUAUUCUCUCUCAACUUUACCAACAAACAUCCAAGAUGCAGGCUUCUUCAGUCGAGUAAAGAGAAGUUUGUAGAAGCAGUAGAGAUGUGAAGACGAUAUCAUCAGUCCAUCGUCGUUGAAGACGUAGUUUUGAGGUGGUCAGUCCCUCAGUCUGGAACAAGACUACCUCCAUAAUGUGGUCACCGUUGCUCUCCCGCACCAGUGUGGUCACCGUUGCUCUCCCGCACCAGUGUGGUCACCGUUGCUCUCCCGCACCAGUGUGGUCACCGUUGCUCUCCCGCACCAGUGUGGUCACCGUUGCUUUCCCGCACCAGUGUGGUCACCGUUGCUCUCCCGCACCAGUGUCCAGCAAUAGUUGACCCCUAAACUACGUUAUUGAGGAAUGAUGGUUCUACAAACACCCAGAGAAGAUUUGCCGUAUUGUGAACAGCUUCUUGUUAAUGAUUUUUUCCUCUAAAAAAAAUAAAA
This is a non-coding RNA of Cherax quadricarinatus, 506 nucleotides long. The record is from RefSeq and is a predicted model, not a curated record. Lineage: Eukaryota; Metazoa; Arthropoda; Malacostraca; Decapoda; Parastacidae.